Molecule: ribosomal RNA, 333 nt
Filed under: uncultured bacterium
Lineage: Bacteria
Description: partial 16S ribosomal RNA
Rfam family: Bacterial small subunit ribosomal RNA
Source: RNAcentral
CCUACGGGUGGCAGCAGUCGAGAAUCAUUCACAAUGGGGGAAACCCUGAUGGGGCGACGCCGCGUGGGGGAAUGAAGGUCUGCGGAUUGUAAACCCCUGUCAUGUGGGAGCAAAUUAAAAAGAUAGUACCACAAGAGGAAGAGACGGCUACCGCUGGGCCAGCAGCCGCGGUAAUACAGAGGUCUCAAGCGUUGUUCGGAACAACUGGGCGUAAAGCGUGCGUAGGCUGUUGCGUAAGUCGUGGGUGAAAGGCGCGGGCUCCACCCGCGGACGGCACAUGAUACUGCGAGACUAGAGUACUGGAGGGGGAACCGGAAUUCUCGGUGUAGCCGU